Molecule: long non-coding RNA, 424 nt
Organism: Melanotaenia boesemani (Boeseman's rainbowfish)
Lineage: Eukaryota; Metazoa; Chordata; Actinopteri; Atheriniformes; Melanotaeniidae
Exons: 3
Source: RefSeq, a predicted model, not a curated record
GGACCACAAAACCCUUUUCACAAUUGCAGCACCUACAGGUUGACUUUGGCUUCAGCAAGCUCAUUCCCUGGGAAGGUGACUAAGAGGGGACUGGAAUCCAAAGCAGAAUUGGUAAUGGAAGGUUUCUUCCCACUGUACUACUUAGUCAACCUAAUGUCUAAUUUUAACUUUUUGUAUUGUCUUGCAGGGCAGCCUGCUACUGUUUUUGUUUUGUUUGUUUUUAUAGAUAUUUCUCAUUGUAUUUUGUUUGAUCCUGUUCGGGCUUCCCUCCUCCCUCCAUAGUUUAGAAGCGGCUGGUGCUGCCUCUGGAGUUUUUUUAGUAACUAAUUUUUUUAAUUGUGAGCCACUGUUGGGGAUCUGGCCCUUUGUUUAUUUGUGGUUAUUGGUUGUUUUAUCACUUGGGGCUUGCGUGUGUGGUGUUUAC